GACCAACCGCCCCCAAUCCUGAUCCAAACAACGGCCACCCUUGUGCUUCCACCGCCGACCGUGCUGCAGGAAGCCGCGCUUCCUCCUUAACAAGCCCGUCUGCCAGACCGUCGUGUCGUGCGCCGUCGUAGCCGGCCACACGUGGGAGGAGCGCCGCUGUCGCAAUCGUUCUAAGGGGAGCCGCGCUCGGACAAGAGCUGCCAUUCGCACUUCCUGCUGACCGCAGGCUGUCGGUGCGUUCGGAGUCGAGUGCGUCGAUCCGCGUUCGACAUCAUUUAUGAGGUAAGAACACAAAUUGAAGGAUAAAACAUGUGCGCUUAUAGUUCUUGGUUUGGAUUUUGAUCCAUUGAUCGAGAGUGCCAACGCAGCAUAGUUUUAUGUUCGUCUUUUUCUCCUGAUGUCUUGCGGAAGGUUGCAAGUAUUGCCUGAUUCCUGGUUACUACAAGUGACAAACGAAACAAGGAUCAAUCCAUUGCACUUUCUAUUUCUUACCUUGAUUUAUGAUGGUGGACAAUUUCAAGUUUUUGUUGUCCUGCUUGGAGAGUUGGAGUAUGACAAAUCCAUAUUUUCUUGAGCGUGCGACUCAAUCGGUUGAGUUCUUCCCCUGCGGGAGGGCAUGCCGACACAUGUCCGUGAGCAGCCUGAUAACAGUUGUCGCCGAGGGAGCAUCGCAGUGCCUUGCGCCAGAGGAGGAGCACUUCUUGCAGUAGGUACGAGCGGCCGCGCCAUUCUUCAUUCCUGCCGGCAUGCGCCUGACGUUGGCCGCCUCCGCCGCCGAUGGGAAGGACGUCACGGCUGUUGUCCAUGCCGCCGGGAGGCUCUCUUCGCGCUCUGUGAUUCUUGUGCACGCGUACCCGCCUUCUCGAGAUGGCCUCUCUCGCUCAACGGAGAGCAAAGCGUCGAUAACGUGUGAAGAAACAAUUGCUAGAAUCAAUCAUCUAUUUGAUUCUCUGAUGAUCACAACUUAUAUAUCUUCUGAAGAGACAUGUCUAACAGACACAACGCUUUGGAGAGUCGGGAGAGAAGAAACGCGUCGGUUAGAUUGCUAACGACUCUCUAAUACAACGUGGAGAUUAUCCACAUAAUUAAUUACAAUAAUUAAUUUCUAAUAGUGGCUAUAUCUCCCACGUAUCGAGGCACGACUUAGAGGCAUAACCGCAUGAUGGUUUAGUCGCAAGUGAGGUAAUCUUCACACAAUCCCAUGUACAGAAUAAGAAUGGGAUAAAGAGUUGGCUUACAAUCGCCA
Molecule: long non-coding RNA, 1246 nt
Filed under: Triticum aestivum (bread wheat)
Lineage: Eukaryota; Viridiplantae; Streptophyta; Magnoliopsida; Poales; Poaceae
Description: long non-coding RNA (TAES_LNC005940)
Source: RNAcentral